GACGAACGCUGGCUGCGUGCUUAACACAUGCAAGUCGAACGCUGAAACCCUGGUGCUUGCACCGGGGUGGAUGAGUGGCGAACGGGUGAGUAACACGUGAGUAACCUGCCCCCGACUUCGGGAUAAGCCCGGGAAACUGGGUCUAAUACCGGAUAUGAGCGCCCCUCGCAUGAGGGAUGCUGGAAAGUCUUUUCGGUUGGGGAUGGGCUCGCGGCGUAUCAGUUUGUUGGUGAGGUAAUGGCUCACCAAGACGACGACGGGUAGCCGGCCUGGGAGGGCGACCGGCCACACUGGGACUGAGAAACGGCCCAGACUCCUACGGGAGGCAGCAGUGGGGAAUAUUGCACAAUGGGGGAAACCCUGAUGCAGCGACGCAGCGUGCGGGAUGACGGCCUUCGGGUUGUAAACCGCUUUCAGCAGGGAAGAAGCCCCUUGGGGUGACGGUACCUGCAGAAGAAGUACCGGCUAACUACGUGCCAGCAGCCGCCGUAA
Molecule: ribosomal RNA, 492 nt
Filed under: uncultured bacterium
Lineage: Bacteria
Description: partial 16S ribosomal RNA
Rfam family: Bacterial small subunit ribosomal RNA
Source: RNAcentral